Long non-coding RNA from Haliotis rufescens (red abalone), 724 nucleotides. RefSeq lists it as uncharacterized. NCBI's taxonomy places the organism in Eukaryota, Metazoa, Mollusca, Gastropoda, Lepetellida, Haliotidae. The transcript has 5 exons. The record is from RefSeq and is a predicted model, not a curated record.
CUUCCAAAUCAUAUUUAAUUAGUUCAGACUCAAGUGUCAGCGUGUCCGUCUGUCCGGGUGUGGUUGAUCCUUUGACAAAACAGAGGAAGCGAACUGUCUUUGUGUGGAAAUCCUUCAAAGUCUGUAUGGCGGGCAUAUCGAAACCAGCUGACCCCGGACAAGAGCAGCCACCGCCUUAUUGCCCCACAUCUCCCGGGGGUACGGCGCCCCCCCCCCCCCACAGGGCUACGCGGCGCCUCCCCCACAGGGCUACGCGGCACCCCCUCAAGGAUAUGCCGCACCCCCGGGACAGGGAUACCCUCCUCAGCCGUAUCCAUAUACACCACCCCCGCAGCAGCAACAGUCGAACACCAACGUCGUUGUGGUAGGUGGCGCUGCCCCCGCGGCCCAGACUGUGGCUGUUAAGCAGAUGUCGUCAGUCAACCACUGCCUUCACUGUUGCAUCUCCUUCUUCUUCUUCCCGUGGAUAUUUGUCUGGAUUUGUCUGUGCAUCUGUAACGGGUGCUAGACGAGAUCACACGAACUGCAGUGCCUUGUGGAGACGCGUAAACCAAUAUUCUCCAAAUAAUCAACUAAACAUACGACAGAGGGGCAUGCGUUAUCGUCUAGGCUGUGACUCUACAAUUCGCUGUGCAGAGUUGCGUCACUCGAACGUCCAUUCGUUGUUUUGAAUAAUGUACCCUGCAGGUGACUGUCACUACACAAUAAACGUCUACAACCUGUA